CCUUUAGGCAAUACCUAAAACAAGAAAGUGUCGACAAGAAAAGGAAAGAGUUUGAUACCAAUGGCUGGCAGCUCUUCAGCAAGAAAAGCCAGGAAAUCCCACAGCAGAUGAAUGGAAGUGACUGUGGAAUGUUUGCUUGCAAAUAUGCCGACUGCAUUACCAAAGACAGACCAAUCAACUUUACACAGCAACACAUGCCAUAUUUCCGGAAGCGAAUGGUCUGGGAGAUCCUCCACCGGAAGCUCUUGUGAAGACUGUCUCAGUGAGCAGACACUGAGCGUGUGGGGGACCAGCCUUUGCCAUCGACAGCCAGAGAGCUUGGAGACAGCCGCUCCUAACCCCUGUUCUGUACAGCCCUUGGUCCUGGGCCAGACCAGGCAAGACGCACUCACAAGCACACCUGCCUUCCUUUUGUAUCUCAGAUACUAUUUUUGCAAAGAAACUCUGGUGCUGUGAAAGGGGUGAGGGACAUCCCUACUGAAGAGAGAGGCUGCUUUUCACUUCAGCUCUGCCGUCUUGUUUUCCAAGGGCUCCAGCCUCACUGAGUCCCUCAUUAGGAGUCCAAGGAAAACUGGGGAAGAAUCUUGGUUUCAUGUAAACUCUUGUUGCUAGACCUUACCGAGAAGUAGGAAAGGGCACGGCAGCAGGUAGGAUAAAACCACCAGCGCCGUAGUCAUACACGCAGUCCCUAGGAUGCAGGGUCACAAAUGGAACUGUGAACUGGACUCUGAGGCACACGCUUAAGUCCCCUCCUCCAGAGCCUUCCUAUUUAUGUGCCCUCCAUGAAACUGACUGCUUCUCCUCAAGGCUGUUUCCUCACUGGUCGAGUCCCAUCCUGAGCACACUGCACAAGCCCCGGCAGACCCUAAAGCCUCGAGCAGGCCUUUCCUCACAGGCGGGGGUUGCAUGUGCGAGCAGGCCGUGCUGUGGGGAGAGCCACCCAGGAGUGUUGAGUGCAGCAGCCAGGGCCCAGCUUCACUGCUGCCUGCUGCUGACCAAGAAGUGGGACUUCAGUGGUCAGAGUCACAUGCCAGAGUUGGAUGAGUACAGGUCUAGGGUGUCUGUGGCUAGUUAGUUUAAAUAUGUUUCUAACCACAGAGAGUUUUAUAUACAUAUAUACCUAUAUGUGUGUAUACAUACAUAUAUAUACACACACAUAAAUGUGAAAUAUAUAUUUCACAGGGAUAUGCUUUUAAAAGAAAAAAAGACUGAAUGUGUUCACCAUUUAGUCUGUAGGUUUAUUUUCAUCUUUCAAACUCCAGCACACAGAGAUCCCAGCAAGCCCUGUUUAUGGGCAUUUGUAGAUUUCCUAAGAGUAUUUUGAGACCUGGAUGAAUCUGGUUUAGGAGUAAAGGUUAUCAAGGUAAAUGACAUUGCCAGCUGAAGAACGGGUGGAGCUUAGCUUGAUAAACUUGAGGUUUUUAAACUGCUCUUUCCUUCGUUGUUUGUAGCACCUCUCCCGCCCUCGCAGAGCUCCUGAGGUGAGAUGGUGAGGUGACAGUGCCAGUGUCGUUUUGUACUUAAGUUCCACUACAGGGACUUUUUCUACUUUGUGUAUGGUGACCGGUAGUUUUCUAUGCAGUCUUCUCCCCGCCGCCCCUGUGCCCAGCCCUUCCAGCACUGUGCUCUCUCCUUGGGCUUAAUUGGAAAUUGUACUCUGUUUUAUACCAAGCCUGUUUAGUACAUUUUUCUAUGUUUUACCACAAGUUACAAUUUGAAAACAACAACUAUUUUUUUUACUACGCCAUUGUUAAAUGAAUGUUCGGUCUCCACUCCAGCAGCCUCCCUCCCUGCAUGUUGGGGGCCGGGGCCUGUACCUUAGUGUUUCUCUCUCGCUGCUCCUUCCUCACUCCUCCUCCCUUUUCUCUUGAUUUUCCAUAGGAAAUAAAUAGCUUUCUGUAUAUGA
Molecule: long non-coding RNA, 1906 nt
Filed under: Rattus norvegicus (Norway rat)
Lineage: Eukaryota; Metazoa; Chordata; Mammalia; Rodentia; Muridae
Description: long non-coding RNA NONRATT027299
Source: RNAcentral